Molecule: ribosomal RNA, 375 nt
Filed under: uncultured bacterium
Lineage: Bacteria
Description: bacterial SSU rRNA
Rfam family: Bacterial small subunit ribosomal RNA
Source: RNAcentral
ACACGUAGGGGGCGAGCGUUGUCCGGAAUUACUGGGCGUAAAGGGUGCGUAGGCGGUCUGUUAAGUCAGAUGUGAAAGACCCGGGCUCAACCCGGGAUGUGCAUCUGAGACUGGCGGACUUGAGUGCAGGAGAGGGAAGUGGUAUUUCUAGUGUAGCGGUGGAAUGCGUAGAUAUUAGGAAGAACACCAGUGGCGGAGGCGGCUUCCUGGACUGUAACUGACGCUGAGGCACGAAAGCGUGGGGAGCAAACAGGAUUAGAUACCCUGGUAGUCCACGCUGUAAACGAUGGAUACUAGGUGUAGGUAUCGUAGGAUAUCUGUGCCGGAGUUAACGCAAUAAGUAUCCCGCCUGGGGAGUACGGCCGCAAGGUUGAA